GGUUAAGCGACUAAGCGUACACGGUGGAUGCCCUGGCAGUCAGAGGCGAUGAAGGACGUGCUAAUCUGCGAAAAGCGUCGGUAAGGUGAUAUGAACCGUUAUAACCGGCGAUGUCCGAAUGGGGAAACCCAGUGCAAUUCGUUGCACUAUCGUUAACUGAAUACAUAGGUUAACGAGGCGAACCGGGGGAACUGAAACAUCUAAGUACCCCGAGGAAAAGAAAUCAACCGAGAUUCCCCCAGUAGCGGCGAGCGAACGGGGAGCAGCCCAGAGUCUGAAUCAGCUUGUGUGUUAGUGGAACGGUCUGGAAAGUCCGACGGUACAGGGUGAUAGUCCCGUACACCAAAAUGCACAGGUUGUGAACUCGAAGAGUAGGGCGGGACACGUGGUAUCCUGUCUGAAUAUGGGGGGACCAUCCUCCAAGGCUAAAUACUCCUGACUGACCGAUAGUGAACCAGUACCGUGAGGGAAAGGCGAAAAGAACCCCGGCGAGGGGAGUGAAAAAGAACCUGAAACCGUGUACGUACAAGCAGUGGGAGCACCUUCGGGUGUGACUGCGUACCUUUUGUAUAAUGGGUCAGCGACUUAUAUUCUGUAGCAAGGUUAACCGUAUAGGGGAGCCGCAGGGAAACCGAGUCUUAACUGGGCGUUAAGUUGCAGGGUAUAGACCCGAAACCCGGUGAUCUAGCCAUGGGCAGGUUGAAGGUUGGGUAACACUAACUGGAGGACCGAACCGACUAAUGUUGAAAAAUUAGCGGAUGACUUGUGGCUGGGGGUGAAAGGCCAAUCAAACCGGGAGAUAGCUGGUUCUCCCCGAAAGCUAUUUAGGUAGCGCCUCGUGAACUCAUCUUCGGGGUAGAGCACUGUUUCGGCUAGGGGGUCAUCCCGACUUACCAACCCGAUGCAAACUACGAAUACCGAAGAAUGUUAUCACGGGAGACACACGGCGGGUGCUAACGUCCGUCGUGAAGAGGGAAACAACCCAGACCGCCAGCUAAGGUCCCAAAGUCAUGGUUAAGUGGGAAACGAUGUGGGAAGGCACAGACAGCCAGGAUGUUGGCUUAGAAGCAGCCAUCAUUUAAAGAAAGCGUAAUAGCUCACUGGUCGAGUCGGCCUGCGCGGAAGAUGUAACGGGGCUAAACCAUGCACCGAAGCUGCGGCAGCGACACUAUGUGUUGUUGGGUAGGGGAGCGUUCUGUAAGCCUGCGAAGGUGUGCUGUGAGGCAUGCUGGAGGUAUCAGAAGUGCGAAUGCUGACAUAAGUAACGAUAAAGCGGGUGAAAAGCCCGCUCGCCGGAAGACCAAGGGUUCCUGUCCAACGUUAAUCGGGGCAGGGUGAGUCGACCCCUAAGGCGAGGCCGAAAGGCGUAGUCGAUGGGAAACAGGUUAAUAUUCCUGUACUUGGUGUUACUGCGAAGGGGGGACGGAGAAGGCUAUGUUAGCCGGGCGACGGUUGUCCCGGUUUAAGCAUGUAGGCUGAUUGUCCAGGCAAAUCCGGAUAAUCAAGGCUGAGGUGUGAUGACGAGGCACUACGGUGCUGAAGUAACAAAUGCCCUGCUUCCAGGAAAAGCCUCUAAGCAUCAGGUAACAUUAAAUCGUACCCCAAACCGACACAGGUGGUCAGGUAGAGAAUACCAAGGCGCUUGAGAGAACUCGGGUGAAGGAACUAGGCAAAAUGGUGCCGUAACUUCGGGAGAAGGCACGCUGGUGUGUAGGUGAAGUCCCUGCGGAUGGAGCUGAGACCAGUCGAAGAUACCAGCUGGCUGCAACUGUUUAUUAAAAACACAGCACUGUGCAAACACGAAAGUGGACGUAUACGGUGUGACGCCUGCCCGGUGCCGGAAGGUUAAUUGAUGGGGUUAUCCGUAAGGAGAAGCUCUUGAUCGAAGCCCCGGUAAACGGCGGCCGUAACUAUAACGGUCCUAAGGUAGCGAAAUUCCUUGUCGGGUAAGUUCCGACCUGCACGAAUGGCGUAAUGAUGGCCAGGCUGUCUCCACCCGAGACUCAGUGAAAUUGAACUCGCUGUGAAGAUGCAGUGUACCCGCGGCAAGACGGAAAGACCCCGUGAACCUUUACUAUAGCUUGACACUGAACAUUGAGCCUUGAUGUGUAGGAUAGGUGGGAGGCUUUGAAGCGUGGACGCCAGUCUGCGUGGAGCCAACCUUGAAAUACCACCCUUUAAUGUUUGAUGUUCUAACGUUGGCCCCUGACCGGGGUUGCGGACAGUGUCUGGUGGGUAGUUUGACUGGGGCGGUCUCCUCCCAAAGCGUAACGGAGGAGCACGAAGGUUAGCUAAUCCUGGUCGGACAUCAGGAGGUUAGUGCAAUGGCAUAAGCUAGCUUGACUGCGAGCGUGACGGCGCGAGCAGGUGCGAAAGCAGGUCAUAGUGAUCCGGUGGUUCUGAAUGGAAGGGCCAUCGCUCAACGGAUAAAAGGUACUCCGGGGAUAACAGGCUGAUACCGCCCAAGAGUUCAUAUCGACGGCGGUGUUUGGCACCUCGAUGUCGGCUCAUCACAUCCUGGGGCUGAAGUAGGUCCCAAGGGUAUGGCUGUUCGCCAUUUAAAGUGGUACGCGAGCUGGGUUUAGAACGUCGUGAGACAGUUCGGUCCCUAUCUGCCGUGGGCGCUGGAGAAUUGAGGGGGGCUGCUCCUAGUACGAGAGGACCGGAGUGGACGCAUCACUGGUGUUCGGGUUGUCAUGCCAAUGGCACUGCCCGGUAGCUAAAUGCGGAAGAGAUAAGUGCUGAAAGCAUCUAAGCACGAAACUUGCCCCGAGAUGAGUUCUCCCUGAGACUUUAAGUCUCCUGAAGGAACGUUGAAGACGACGACGUUGAUAGGCCGGGUGUGUAAGCGCAGCGAUGCGUUGAGCUAACCGGUACUAAUGAACCGUGAGGCUUAACCUU
Molecule: ribosomal RNA, 2901 nt
Filed under: Klebsiella pneumoniae
Lineage: Bacteria; Pseudomonadati; Pseudomonadota; Gammaproteobacteria; Enterobacterales; Enterobacteriaceae
Description: 23S ribosomal RNA
Rfam family: Bacterial large subunit ribosomal RNA
Source: RNAcentral